AUGAAACUUUUGAUUCUUUUUACGUUUUUUGGCCACAAGGCACCUACGCGUCGCAGGAUCCGCUGCGGCUCGGUCACCCCUCCCUUCUUCUUCGUCACAGGCCCGUCCCUCGUCCUCCCGGGGUCCGGCGCGACCCCAGCUCCCUGUACCUCCCCGUCAGGCGUCCUCCCGGGGUCCGGCGCGACCCCGGCCCACGGAACCUCCCCGUCGGGCGUCCUGCCGGGGUCAGGCGCGACCCCAGCUCCCUGUACCUCCCCGUCAGGCGUCCUCCCGGGGUCAGGCGCGACCCCGGCCCACGGAACCUCCCCGUCAGGCGUCCUGCCGGGGUCCGGCGCGACCCCAGCUCCCUGUACCUCCCCGUCAGGCAUCCUCCCGGGGUCAGGCGCGACCCCAGCCCCAUGUACCUCCCCGUCCCGCAUCCUCCCGGGGUCAGGCGCGACCCCAGCUCCCUGUACCUCCCCGUCAGGCGUUCUCCCGGGGUCAGGCGCGACCCCAGCUCCCUGUACCUCCCCGUCAGGCGUCCUCCCGGGGUCCGGCGCGACCCCAGCCCCAUGUACCUCCCCGUCCCGCAUCCUCCCGGGGUCAGGCGCGACCCCAGCUCCCUGUACCUCCCCGUCAGGCGUCCUCCCGGGGUCCGGCGCGACCCCAGCCCCAUGUACCUCCCCGUCCCGCAUCCUCCCGGGGUCAGGCGCGACCCCAGCUCCCUGUACCUCCCCGUCAGGCGUCCUCCCGGGGUCCGGCGCGACCCCGGCCCACGGAACCUCCCCGUCGGGCGUCCUGCCGGGGUCCGGCGCGACCCCAGCCCCAUGUACCUUCCCGUCCCGCAUCCUCCCGGGGUCAGGCGCGACCCCAGCUCCCUGUACCUCCCCGUCAGGCGUCCUCCCGGGGUCCGGCGCGACCCCGGCCCACGGAACCUCCCCGUCGGGCGUCCUGCCGGGGUCCGGCGCGACCCCGGCCCACGGAACCUCCCCGUCAGGCGUCCUGCCGGGGUCCGGCGCGACCCCAGCCCCAUGUACCUCCCCGUCCCGCGUCCUCCCGGGGUCAGGCGCGACCCCGGCCCCCUGUACCUCCCCGUCCCGCGUCCUCCCGGGGUCAGGCGCGACCCCGGCCCCCUGUACCUCCCGGUUCUCAGAGUAA
This 1137-nucleotide long non-coding RNA is filed under the name Betta splendens (Siamese fighting fish). Its description in RNAcentral is "lncRNA (ENSBSLG00000008062.1)". Lineage: Eukaryota; Metazoa; Chordata; Actinopteri; Anabantiformes; Osphronemidae. The record is from RNAcentral.